GAGCGGAGGAGGGUCAAAGUCUGUGAAGAGCUUCAAGGCCUCAGCCAGAGUUGGGGUCUGGACAGGGGUUGGUGAGGCCUAAUAUGUCUUGCUCGAAUGCCUGGUCUUACUCCUAGAGGAGGCACCUGUCCCCAAGUUUAAGAAAUGAACAGUGACCUUGCUUUUUUUCCGAGUGCUGUCCACAUGGACACCUGGCGCUUUCCAGCCCCAAAUCCAGAUCCUACCCAGCAUGCACUAAAUAUACAGACAGGAUCAAGAGAAUCCUCUGUGUCCCAGCCCUGCCCCAUUUACUGUGCAACCUCAGCAUUCCCUGAGCCAGCCCCAGCUGCUGGAAUGUCAAGGCGUGGCCAGAGCUAUGACAUCAUCACCUCCAGCCUCAUCCCAUCAUCUUUAAGAAGUUCAAAGAAUUUCCUUCUUUGGAGAGUGACUCCAGCCGGGCAUCCGCAGGCCCAUCUCUGGACAGGGCAGGCUACAUGGACCUCAGACUUCUCAGACUGCUCUGGUGGGAGGGAGGAGAGGGCCCUGCUGGACGCCUGCACUUGGCCUCACCUCUGGGAAGUCCUCAAGGUGGGAUUCUUACCCCCAAUUUACAAGUGGGAAAACUGAGACCUGGAACCCUCAUGGGGAGAAUAGGUCUUACUUUCAGGCUGCCCUGUAGCCUGCACUUCCCUUAGCAGGCAAGAAAUAACCAAGAACAUGCGUGCAGACGGGUGGAGACGGGUGGCAGUGGAUGCGGCAGAAGUCCACAGCGGGAAGGUCCUCCUUUACUGCAAACAGAAUUCAUAGUUCUGUUUUGGGAUGGCCAGAAGACAUCCUAGGAAAGGUCUACCCCCUACCCGAGGUCUGAAGCCUGGGUUACUACUAUUUUAUCAUAAAGUAUCUGUA
This is a long non-coding RNA of Mus musculus (house mouse), 885 nucleotides long. RefSeq annotates it as predicted gene, 41359. The record is from RefSeq and is a predicted model, not a curated record. The transcript has 3 exons. Lineage: Eukaryota; Metazoa; Chordata; Mammalia; Rodentia; Muridae.